UAGUGAAUGAGGAGUUACCCUGAUAGUAGCUAGCUAGCGAUAAUAAGUAACAUUUAUAAAGUAUUCUAAGGUUUACAAAGCACUUUGUACAUAUUAUCUCAUUUUGUGUUCACAGCAACCCAGAGAUGUAGCUGCUAAUGGGAAUCCUCUGAUGCAAUUGGGCGAGUUCAUGAGAAUCAUCAUUAAGGCUCUACCUGCAAUCAAUAGCGAGGUCUCCAGAGAGUCUGAGUGCAGCUUCUGCCUUGAGAACUGAGGCACACAGAAGCCCAACUAGACCCAGUAAGGAAAGGCAUCUUUGGAACUCUACAAGGCACCAACCCUCAGAGCCCCGCAGCAAGCUAUAACUGAGAGUAAUUUCACGAGGAUGUCACAAAGAGAGAAAAGUAUCCCAGUAACCAGGAUCUGUGGCCAUAUGAAUGCUCCAAGUGAGAUCCCACUUUUCUGAAUAACCUUGUACGGGGAGAACGUAUACCUUGUGGGUCUGUGUGUAUGUUUGUAUUUCCAGAAAAACUAUUCUCGCUACAUGCCUACUUAGUAAUAACACCUUUUCUGAAAAGCUAAUGAAGUCUGACUGAUAAGUCUACAAGAGGCACACUAGAUGGUGGCUUGAAAACCCCAACGCUUCAGAGCUAACCCAAGAAUUCUGAAGGAAGAGUUGGCGGCUGCCUUCUGGGGACCCGACCUCCCAACACUAGUAGCAUUUGGGGGAAAUAACCCCCAGAAGCAGUGUUAUACUAGCAUGAGGCGUCUCCUGGAAACCUAACAUCAGUUAUUUCAAAUAAUCCAUCAAAAUAUGGAUUAAUCAGCACCCUAAAGUGCUCCGUCCUUUCCUUUUUCUCAUCCUAGAAGAUAAGAUGAAAAAACCCACAUAUCAGAAAGCUUUAUCUUUGUCUUUCCUCUUUUUCUCGUUCCCACCUCU
Molecule: long non-coding RNA, 919 nt
Filed under: Phascolarctos cinereus (koala)
Lineage: Eukaryota; Metazoa; Chordata; Mammalia; Diprotodontia; Phascolarctidae
Description: lncRNA (ENSPCIG00000021063.2)
Source: RNAcentral